AUGGACGAAAGUCUGACGGAGCAACGCCGCGUGAGUGAUGAAAGGUUUUCGGAUCGUAAAGCUCUGUUGUUAGGGAAGAACAAGUGCCGUUCGAAUAGGGCGGCACCUUGACGGUACCUAACCAGAAAGCCACGGCUAACUACGUGCCAGCAGCCGCGGUAAUACGUAGGUGGCAAGCGUUGUCCGGAAUUAUUGGGCGUAAAGCGCGCGCAGGUGGUUUCUUAAGUCUGAUGUGAAAGCCCACGGCUCAACCGUGGAGGGUCAUUGGAAACUGGGGAACUUGAGUGCAGAGAGGAAAGUGGAAUUCCAAGUGUAGCGGUGAAAUGCGUAGAUAUUUGGAGGAACACCAGUGGCGAAGGCGACUUUCUGGCCUGUAACUGACACUGAGGCGCGAAAGCGUGGGGGAGCAAAACAGGAUUAGAUACCCUGGUAGUCCCACGCCGUAAACGCUGAGUGCUAAGUGUUAGGGGGUUUCCGCCCUUUAGUGCUGCAGCUAACGCAUUAAGCACUCCGCCUGGGGAGUACGGUCGGAAGACUGAAACUCAAAGGAAUUGACGGGGGCCCGCACAAGCGGUGGAGCAUGUGGUUUAAUUCGAAGCAACGCGAACCACCUUACCAGGUCUUGACAUCCUCUGACAACCCUAGAGAUAGGGCUUUAA
This 659-nucleotide ribosomal RNA is filed under the name Rossellomorea aquimaris. RNAcentral's name for it is "bacterial SSU rRNA". It matches the Rfam family "Bacterial small subunit ribosomal RNA", at positions 371 to 1017 of the family's 1533-position model. Lineage: Bacteria; Bacillati; Bacillota; Bacilli; Caryophanales; Bacillaceae. The record is from RNAcentral.